Molecule: ribosomal RNA, 400 nt
Filed under: uncultured bacterium
Lineage: Bacteria
Description: bacterial SSU rRNA
Rfam family: Bacterial small subunit ribosomal RNA
Source: RNAcentral
UGGGGAAUUUUGGACAAUGGGGGCAACCCUGAUCCAGCAAUGCCGCGUGAGUGAAGAAGGCCUUCGGGUUGUAAAGCUCUUUCGGCCGGGACGAAAUCGCUCUGGUGAAUAUCCAGGGUGGAUGACGGUACCGGAAUAAGAAGCACCGGCUAACUACGUGCCAGCAGCCGCGGUAAUACGUAGGGUGCGAGCGUUAAUCGGAAUUACUGGGCGUAAAGCGUGCGCAGGCGGUUUUGUAAGUCAGACGUGAAAGCCCCGGGCUUAACCUGGGAAUUGCGUUUGAAACUGCAAGGCUAGAGUACGGCAGAGGGGGGUAGAAUUCCACGUGUAGCAGUGAAAUGCGUAGAUAUGUGGAGGAAUACCGAUGGCGAAGGCAGCCCCCUGGGCUAGUACUGACGCU